AGCCGUGGGCCGUGGUUUAGGAGGAUCAAAGACGGGGAGGGAUGUGGCUGCAAGUUACUGGGAAGAAAGAGCGGGCAGCGGCCCCGAAAGAGAAACAGUUGCUGCUGAUCAGUUACAGGGGCUUGCCGCCUUGCCUUCCCCCUUAGAAACUCCCGGAAGGCCUCUGACCUUCUCUUCUCUCUUCGGUCUCCUGAGCUCCCUCCCAUGCUGCACGCCCCCACCUAUUGCCACAAGGCAGUUGUCCCCGCCAUCCCCAGACCCACCCCCGGAGCAUCGCCAGAUUUAGGGCUCUGCGCCCGAGCACCAGGGCUGGCUGCUCCGGGACUCGCUCCUCCAGCCCCGCCGCGGGCUCCGCAUUGCGGCGGUGCGGGCGCCGAACCUCCCAGCGAGCUUUCCCGGCUGGGAUCUGCAGUGCGGUGCCCGCCCCGCCGCCUCCCUGCCCCCGCACGCCCCCUGGGGCCCUGCGCCUAGCUGCUGCCGGCGGGUUGCAUAAGCCCGGCGCGCACGGGCGCUGAAUUCAGCUUCCCGGUCAUCCAAACUCCUGGCCAGACGGUGAAAGCUUGCGAUGCUGCUGGACCGUCCUCCCCUCUGCAGCUGUCAAAAAGCCGCGCCCUGAGACAACAAAUCCAGCCGCGGCAAAUACCCUGUGACAGAUGAGAGAAUAUUUGCUCCUUGAGGAGAGGCGAGGAAGAGGGACAUCUCUUCAUGAACAGCCCCAAAACAAGUAAACAUUGUCACAAUUUCAGAUCUGAAAACAGUAAAGCCCCCCGUGCAGGGACUUCACAAAGUUAAGCUCUGGAGGUGGCAGAAAUUUUGUGAAAUUAUUCUGGGGAAACUGUUUCCCUCUCACUGCAAAGGAGAGGAGAAUCUACCUCUGAGUCAGCGAGGGUUUGACAUUGAGAAGGGAAUUUAAGGGUCUUCAAGUGUCUUUAUGUUUGGGUUUGCCCUUAAUUCUUUUCCUUCACUUCGACAGCAUUGCAGGACGAGGAUGGCCGCACUCCAGCUUUAUGUCGUGGUCACAGAGUAAUUGUUAAGAACAGUGCUCCCUUUGACUUCCAAAGGUGUCUCAGUUUACACAACAAUGUGGUCAGCAUAGAACAGAUGCAUCCAUCAUCUGAGUCACUGGGCUGGAUGCUGGUAAAGAUAAAAAAAAAAAUCAUUAACACAGAGACGCCGCCUUUGAGUGAUAGUGUAGUACAGAAGAUCAAACAUAUACACGGCACGUUUCUGGUUUGUCAGGCAUAAUCUUGGUAACCUACGUGCGUCUGCAUUUUCUACUUGUUACCUGUGUCUCCUUUCUUUGCUUCUCUACGUGAGCUUGAGGGGUGUUUGGUGGCAGGAUGGAGUGCUAAUUUAAUUGAGGAAGACAUAUCAGUGAGGAUCUGAGCCCAUUGCUAGAAAGGCCUACAGACACUCGUGAAAAGGACUCUGGUCCCUCAGAACAAGACAAUCCCUGCAUGGCAAGUGCUAGGUGAACACCAUGGAGUCUUAAAGGGAAAAGAGGUGAGAUGGGCUCUGGAGGGACAAGGAGAGGUCUUUUGCAGGAAGUGAGGGUGAACCGGGUCUUGCGAUGAGCAGGAGGAUGGCUCUUCCAGAAAAGACCACGCUAUACAGACAGAGCUUGGGCCUUAGAAGAAGUUCUGGGACCCCAGAUGGGGCACAAAAGCAGCGGCGUGAUUCCAUUGCCGGGGAUUAGAGGAGACAGUCACGUGGACACAACUGGGGGAUGUCCCAAUGGUGGCUGUAUGGAACAGCAGAUGCCAGUGUGAACCGAGCACUGGAUGACCCUUGCUCCCAUGCGAUGGCUUUCCCAUAUCUCCUCAAGUUAGACUAAACCCUAGGAUGAUAACGGCGGUGGGGAGAGAAGACUCCAAGUUGGCUGAGAAGACACUGCCCCAUCCUAGCAAAACAGGGCUUGAAAUUAACAUUGGAGAGAGAUUUGGAAAGCAAAGAAAACUAGGUUUCUCGUAUACUUCUGUUUGUAGACUGAAAUGUACACUUGCUAUUUGUGUCUCUGUGAUGAUCUCAAAGAUGACAAACUCACUAACUGUUCAUGCCGCUGGCUUGGGAAGGGGGCAGGGGACACGCUUGUCUCCAGGGCCCAUCAUCAGUCCUGUGGUACAUGUGACGUAAGAGAUUGACUUGCAAAGCGGGGGUUGCGCAACAGAACAAGGUGGGUCUGGACGCUUUCCUACCAUCAAACUUACCAUUUGCCUCAGUUCCUCCUGAACCCGAUGGACAGUUUUCCCUGCGGUGCUAAAUUUGACAUUUCCGUCCCCUCAUAAGCGUAAAAGUGGAGGUGUCAGAGCAAACAAAAGAUUUCUUUUAAUGAUGGAAUUAAAUGCGUAUUAUACCGGUCAGCAUACAUGUUGCUUUGUUUCACGGAGCCUGUGAGUAUCGUGUAUAUAACUACACGUUUCCAAAAAUAAAUACAUAUUAUAAGAAGA
Long non-coding RNA from Leopardus geoffroyi (Geoffroy's cat), 2447 nucleotides. RefSeq lists it as uncharacterized. The transcript is spliced from 4 exons. The record is from RefSeq and is a predicted model, not a curated record. NCBI's taxonomy places the organism in Eukaryota, Metazoa, Chordata, Mammalia, Carnivora, Felidae.